RNAcentral lists this ribosomal RNA (254 nucleotides) under uncultured bacterium. RNAcentral describes it as "partial 16S ribosomal RNA". It matches the Rfam family "Bacterial small subunit ribosomal RNA", at positions 524 to 776 of the family's 1533-position model. The record is from RNAcentral.
UACGUAGGGGGGCAAGCGUUGUCCGGAUUUAUUGGGCGUAAAGCGCGCGCAGGCGGUUUCUUAAGUCUGAUGUGAAAGCCCACGGCUUAACCGUGGAAGGUCAUUGGAAACUGGGAGACUUGAGUGCAGAAGAGAAGAGCGGAAUUCCACGUGUAGCGGUGAAAUGCGUAGAGAUGUGGAGGAACACCAGUGGCGAAGGCGGCUCUUUGGUCUGUAACUGACGCUGAGGCGCGAAAGCGUGGGGAUCAAACAGG